UUUGCAUGGGUAAUUUAGUA
RNAcentral lists this non-coding RNA (20 nucleotides) under Arabidopsis thaliana (thale cress). The record is from RNAcentral. Lineage: Eukaryota; Viridiplantae; Streptophyta; Magnoliopsida; Brassicales; Brassicaceae.